Molecule: ribosomal RNA, 508 nt
Filed under: uncultured bacterium
Lineage: Bacteria
Description: partial 16S ribosomal RNA
Rfam family: Bacterial small subunit ribosomal RNA
Source: RNAcentral
AUUGAACGCUGGCGGCAUGCCUUACACAUGCAAGUCGAACGGCAGCGGGGGAGAAGCUUGCUUUUCCUGCCGGCGAGUGGCGAUCGGGUGAGUAAUACAUCGGAACGUGCCCUGUAGUGGGGGAUAAUUAGUCGAAAGAUUAGCUAAUACCGCAUACGACCUGAGUGGGAACGUGGGGGAUCGCAAGGCAUCAAGCUUUAGUAGCGCCCGAUGUCUGAUUAGCAAGUUGGUGGGGUAAAGGCCUACCAAGGCGACGAUGAGUAGCUGGUCUGAGAGGCCGAUGAGCCACACUGGGACUGAGACACGGCCCAGACUCCUACGGGAGGCAGCAGUGGGGAAUUUUGGACAAUGGGCGAAAGCCUGUUCCAGCAAUGCCGCGUGUGUGAAGAAGGCCUUCGGGUUGUAAAGCACUUUUGUCCGGAAAGAAAUGGCUCUGGUUAAUACCUGGGGUCGAUGACGGUACCGGAAGAAUAAGGACCGGCUAACUACGUGCCAGCAGCCGCCGUAA